This 402-nucleotide ribosomal RNA is filed under the name uncultured bacterium. Its description in RNAcentral is "bacterial SSU rRNA". It matches the Rfam family "Bacterial small subunit ribosomal RNA", at positions 355 to 774 of the family's 1533-position model. The record is from RNAcentral.
UGGGGAAUAUUGGACAAUGGGGGAAACCCUGAUCCAGCCAUGCCGCGUGAGUGAUGAAGGCCCUAGGGUUGUAGAGCUCUUUUGUGCGGGAAGAUAAUGACGGUACCGCAAGAAUAAGCCCCGGCUAACUUCGUGCCAGCAGCCGCGGUAAUACGAAGGGGGCUAGCGUUGCUCGGAAUAACUGGGCGUAAAGGGUGCGUAGGCGGAUCUUUAAGUCAGAGGUGAAAGCCUGGAGCUCAACUCCAGAACUGCCUUUGAUACUGGGGAUCUUGAGUUCGGGAGAGGUAAGUGGAACUGCGAGUGUAGAGGUGAAAUUCGUAGAUAUUCGCAAGAACACCAGUGGCGAAGGCGGCUCACUGGCCCGAUACUGACGCUGAGGCACGAAAGCGUGGGGAGCAAACA